CUGCCUGGUAGUGGGGGACAACGUUUCGAAAGGAACGCUAAUACCGCAUACGUCCUACGGGAGAAAGCAGGGGACCUUCGGGCCUUGCGCUAUCAGAUGAGCCUAGGUCGGAUUAGCUAGUUGGUGAGGUAAUGGCUCACCAAGGCGACGAUCCGUAACUGGUCUGAGAGGAUGAUCAGUCACACUGGAACUGAGACACGGUCCAGACUCCUACGGGAGGCAGCAGUGGGGAAUAUUGGACAAUGGGCGAAAGCCUGAUCCAGCCAUGCCGCGUGUGUGAAGAAGGUCUUCGGAUUGUAAAGCACUUUAAGUUGGGAGGAAGGGCAGUAAAUUAAUACUUUGCUGUUUUGACGUUACCGACAGAAUAAGCACCGGCUAACUCUGUGCCAGCAGCCGCGGUAAUACAGAGGGUGCAAGCGUUAAUCGGAAUUACUGGGCGUAAAGCGCGCGUAGGUGGUUCGUUAAGUUGGAUGUGAAAUCCCCGGGCUCAACCUGGGAACUGCAUUCAAAACUGUCGAGCUAGAGUAUGGUAGAGGGUGGUGGAAUUUCCUGUGUAGCGGUGAAAUGCGUAGAUAUAGGA
Molecule: ribosomal RNA, 580 nt
Filed under: uncultured Pseudomonas sp.
Lineage: Bacteria; Pseudomonadati; Pseudomonadota; Gammaproteobacteria; Pseudomonadales; Pseudomonadaceae
Description: bacterial SSU rRNA
Rfam family: Bacterial small subunit ribosomal RNA
Source: RNAcentral